This 73-nucleotide transfer RNA is filed under the name Planctomycetota bacterium. RNAcentral's name for it is "tRNA-Arg". It matches the Rfam family "tRNA". From Rfam's summary of the family: Transfer RNA (tRNA) molecules are approximately 80 nucleotides in length. The record is from RNAcentral. Lineage: Bacteria; Pseudomonadati; Planctomycetota.
GGCCCUGUAGCUCAGUGGAUAGAGCACUAGCCUCCGGAGCUAGGUGUCGUACGUUCGAAUCGUACCAGGGUCA